This 253-nucleotide ribosomal RNA is filed under the name uncultured bacterium. RNAcentral describes it as "partial 16S ribosomal RNA". It matches the Rfam family "Bacterial small subunit ribosomal RNA", at positions 524 to 776 of the family's 1533-position model. The record is from RNAcentral.
UACGGGGGGGGCAAGCGUUGUUCGGAAUUACUGGGCGUAAAGGGCUCGUAGGCGGCCAACUAAGUCAGACGUGAAAUCCCUCGGCUUAACCGGGGAACUGCGUCUGAUACUGGAUGGCUUGAGUUUGGGAGAGGGAUGCGGAAUUCCAGGUGUAGCGGUGAAAUGCGUAGAUAUUGGGAGGAACACCAGUGGCGAAGGCGGCUCACUGGACCGGUACUGACGCUGAUGCGCGAAAGCGUGGGGAGCAAACAGG